Molecule: ribosomal RNA, 383 nt
Filed under: uncultured eukaryote
Lineage: Eukaryota
Description: partial 18S ribosomal RNA
Rfam family: Eukaryotic small subunit ribosomal RNA
Source: RNAcentral
CAAUAGCGUAUAUUAAAGUUGUUGCGGUUAAAAAGCUCGUAGUUGGAUCUCGGCAGGCAGGGGGUGGUUCGCUCUUAGCGCUACUGCCCCAUUUGCCUGUGUGAUUGGCGGAGGUUUCGGGGUGCUCUUCGUUGAGUGACCCGGGGCGCCGUCAGGUUUACUUUGAAAAAAUUAGAGUGCUCAAAGCAGGCUUUUCACGCUUGAAUAUUCGUGCAUGGAAUAAUGGAAUAGGAACUCGUUUCUAUUUUGUUGGUUUUCGGAAAUCGAGUUAAUGAUUAAUAGGGACAAUUGGGGGCAUUAGUAUUCGGACGACAGAGGUGAAAUUCUUGGACCGUCUGAAGACUAACUACUGCGAAAGCAUUUGCCAAGAGUGUUUUCAUUAA